UGAGGAAUAUUGGUCAAUGGGCGAGAGCCUGAACCAGCCAAGUAGCGUGCAGGAUGACGGCCCUAUGGGUUGUAAACUGCUUUUAUGUGGGGAUAAAGUGCGUGACGUGUCAUGCAUUGCAGGUACCACAUGAAUAAGGACCGUCUAAUUCCGUGCCAGCAGCCGCGGUAAUACGGAAGGUCCGGGCGUUAUCCGGAUUUAUUGGGUUUAAAGGGAGCGUAGGCUGUCUAUUAAGCGUGUUGUGAAAUUUACCGGCUCAACCGGUGGCUUGCAGCGCGAACUGGUCGACUUGAGUAUGCAGGAAGUAGGCGGAAUUCAUGGUGUAGCGGUGAAAUGCUUAGAUAUCAUGACGAACUCCGAUUGCGCAGGCAGCUUACUGUAGCAUAACUGACGCUGAUGCUCGAAAGUGCGGGUAUCAAACAGG
This 424-nucleotide ribosomal RNA is filed under the name Fusobacteriota bacterium. Its description in RNAcentral is "Fusobacteria bacterium partial 16S ribosomal RNA". It matches the Rfam family "Bacterial small subunit ribosomal RNA", at positions 355 to 776 of the family's 1533-position model. Lineage: Bacteria; Fusobacteriati; Fusobacteriota. The record is from RNAcentral.